CCUACGGGAGGCAGCAGUGGGGAAUAUUGCACAAUGGGGGAAACCCUGAUGCAGCGACGCCGCGUGAGUGAAGAAGUAAUUCGUUAUGUAAAGCUCUAUCAGCAGGGAAGAAAAUGACGGUACCUGAGUAAGAAGCCCCGGCUAACUACGUGCCAGCAGCCGCGGUAAUACGGAGGGGGCAAGCGGUAUCCGGAUUUUCUGGGUGUAAAGGGAGCGUAGACGGUAGUGCAAGUCUGGAGUGAAAGGCUGGGGCUCAACCCCCGGACGGCUCUGGAAACUGGACGGCUGGAGUGCAGGAGAGGUAAGUGGAAUUCCUAGUGUAGCGGUGAAAUGCGUAGAUAUUAGGAGGAACACCAGUGGCGAAGGCGGCUGACUGGACUGUAACUGACGUUGAGGCUCGAAAGCGUGGGGAGCAAACAGGAUUAGAUACCCUAGUAGUU
Molecule: ribosomal RNA, 440 nt
Filed under: uncultured bacterium
Lineage: Bacteria
Description: partial 16S ribosomal RNA
Rfam family: Bacterial small subunit ribosomal RNA
Source: RNAcentral